UCCCUGGUAGUCUAGAGGUUAGGACUCAGCACUUUCACGGCUGAGACCCAGGUUCAAUCCCUGGUCUGGGAA
RNAcentral lists this transfer RNA (72 nucleotides) under Sus scrofa (pig). Its description in RNAcentral is "tRNA-Glu (TTC) (tRNA-Glu-TTC-34-1)". It matches the Rfam family "tRNA". Rfam says of the family: Transfer RNA (tRNA) molecules are approximately 80 nucleotides in length. Their secondary structure includes four short double-helical elements and three loops (D, anti-codon, and T loops). Further hydrogen bonds mediate the characteristic L-shaped molecular structure. tRNAs have two regions of fundamental functional importance: the anti-codon, which is responsible for specific mRNA codon recognition, and the 3' end, to which the tRNAs corresponding amino acid is attached (by aminoacyl-tRNA synthetases). tRNAs cope with the degeneracy of the genetic code in two manners: having more than one tRNA (with a specific anti-codon) for a particular amino acid; and 'wobble' base-pairing, i.e. permitting non-standard base-pairing at the 3rd anti-codon position. The record is from Rfam by way of RNAcentral. Lineage: Eukaryota; Metazoa; Chordata; Mammalia; Artiodactyla; Suidae.